GUGCUCCCUGUGGCCCCACAUGUACUACAAUUGGCACAAUACAGAGAAGAUUAGCACAGCCUCUGUGCAAGGAUGACACGCAGAUUCGUGAUGUUCAAAAAAUAGAU
Aotus nancymaae (Ma's night monkey) is the source of this 107-nucleotide small nuclear RNA. NCBI's taxonomy places the organism in Eukaryota, Metazoa, Chordata, Mammalia, Primates, Aotidae. The record is from Ensembl.